GUCAAGAUUUCCAAGGAGACACAUAAAGGAAGAGAAUGACGCCAUCGCCUCACCAGGAAAAUCCUGAUCCAAAUUUUACCCGAAGAAACCACAUCCCCAUGGUAAACGGGGCAUGAGUGCCUUCAAGAAAACAUGCAUGACACUAAAAUAAAACAUGCAUGAUGAUAAAGUCAAGCUAGGUUUUCAACAGCGGCGAAUGAACCCCAACCAAAGAGCCAAAGAGGGCCGUCCGGUGCAGAUCCUCUUUGCACCGUUUCAUCUCGUCCAAUCAAGGCGAUGAGCUGUGGCCGGCUUGAAGAAGGUCUCCGGGUCUGACUCCACGGCGUCGGCCAGUCGCGGCCACAUCCUGGCAGUCACCAACCACGAGCCAUCCUCCGUGGGGCUCCGGAUGACCCUAUGGCGGCCGAGCCCAGCGGCCCCGGACACACUCACGGCAUCCCAAGCCGCGGCCGCCCGAACCCGAAGUCGCCCUCCACCGGGAACGGCACGAAUGACGGCCCAGCUGCUAGCCAAGGAAAGAGCAAGGAAGGUACCAGGGUUGUUUUUGCAAAAAACGGUUCACAUUGGCACCUGACAAGUGGGCCCAAAUAGCCACGUAGGCACCAAGCACGCGCUCGAGCCACCUUAGGACUUGCGCUGAACCUCUGCUGCAUUUUACUCUAUUGUUUUCUUCCCGCCUAGUCUGAACUCUAUCUCCAAGCUCUGGUAUAUUCUUUUUCAGUGUUUCUGUUUGUAGUCGAUGUUCGCUCAGUUUCCCCAAAUCAGUAGGGCAACUCUCUUCUACUACUCCCUCCGUCCCAUAUUAAGUGACCCAAAUUUGUCCACACAUGGAUGUAUCUAUGCCUAAAAAGCGUCUAGAUACAUGUAAAAAAGUCUAUUGAUAUGAGACGGAGGGAGUAAUACCGAACGGCCAGGUCCUGUCCUAAAAGAAAUAGGAACCUAUGGGGGCUGCAGUCUGAUGGUAACACGAAGUUGCUUGACUAC
Long non-coding RNA from Brachypodium distachyon (stiff brome), 984 nucleotides. RefSeq lists it as uncharacterized. The transcript is spliced from 2 exons. The record is from RefSeq and is a predicted model, not a curated record. NCBI's taxonomy places the organism in Eukaryota, Viridiplantae, Streptophyta, Magnoliopsida, Poales, Poaceae.